RNAcentral lists this ribosomal RNA (232 nucleotides) under uncultured bacterium. RNAcentral describes it as "partial 16S ribosomal RNA". It matches the Rfam family "Bacterial small subunit ribosomal RNA", at positions 118 to 347 of the family's 1533-position model. The record is from RNAcentral.
UGGGCAACCUGCCCCUCUCUCUGGGAUAACCCCGGGAAACCGGAGCUAAUACCGGAUACUCCGGCUGGAUCGCAUGGUCCGGUCGGGAAAGGUCCGCCGGAGAGGGAUGGGCCCGCGGCCUAUCAGCUUGUUGGUGGGGUCAUGGCUCACCAAGGCGACGACGGGUAGCUGGUCUGAGAGGACGACCAGCCACACUGGAACUGAGAUACGGUCCAGACUCCGUACGGGAGCA